UUGAAAGGGAAACGAUUGAAGUCAGUCGUGCAGUCACUAACUCAACGGCUAUGUAGGUAUCCAACGCGAGAUGGCGAGCCUCAAAACCGCUGUCUUGUGUUAGAUGCCUACAUAGCCGUGUAUUUUGGUGUUUGCUGGUCAGCAUCAAUUUCGAUUGUCAUAAAAAGGUCGAGGGGAUGUGGCUCCUUCGGGAGUGUUAUAACCCUUGGCGGAAUGUGGCGGUCGGGAUUGAGGUUUGCGCGAUGAUGGUUUCCUCUGGCCUCUCAUCGAUGUCCGAAUGAUGGAAGCUUGCUGAAGUUGUUUGGACCGUUGGUGAAAAGGUUGGUGUGACAGAAUCGUUAAGGAUGUUGACGUA
Molecule: ribosomal RNA, 355 nt
Filed under: uncultured Glomeromycotina
Lineage: Eukaryota; Fungi; Glomeromycota
Description: LSU rRNA
Source: RNAcentral